RNAcentral lists this long non-coding RNA (922 nucleotides) under Olea europaea subsp. europaea. The record is from RNAcentral. Lineage: Eukaryota; Viridiplantae; Streptophyta; Magnoliopsida; Lamiales; Oleaceae.
UGCUAAUUCAUUGGCCGCUCAUUCGAACUAGAGUUCCUUGGUGGUUAAGUAUGCAUGUCCUCUUUUUUCUUGUUUUUUUUUUCCAGAUUUAGGAUUAGGAAAUUCUUCAUCUUUCAUGGAUGCAAGAACCACCUUAACUCCAUCCUUGUAGAAUGUAUAUAUUUUUUUUUCUCCCCCAAUGUGGAUAGUUACAUAUCAAGUUGCCAUGGCCGGCCUAAUAGUAUAUGACAAGCCUCCAUGUUUACUACAUCGCACAAUACUUCAUUUGAAUAGUUUUUACCAAUAGAAAAAGGAACAACACAUUGUUGUUUUACUUUCACCUCACUUCCUUUUUUGAACCAAGCAACUCGAUGUGGCCUUAGGUGUGGUUGAACUCUAAGAUUCAAUUUCAUCACCAUUUCUUGAUACUAUGUUUUCACAGCUUCCGCCAUCAAUGAUAACACUGCAAAGACACCCAUGAGAAGAACACCGUGUUCGAAAGAUGUUAUUCUGCAGCCAGCCAUCUUCUGUAGCAUUUGUUAUUAGCAUUGCACGAUGCACCACCAGGUUUUGAAGAUCUUGGUCUUCAUAAUUAACAUCUUCUUCUGUGAAAUUCAGAAACCCUCCUUCUUCAUUUGUAUCAUCAUAUGUCCCUCAUUAUUAAUUGCCUUUUCAUCAACAAGAAAGUUGCUUGCAGUCCUUCGACAAUCAGAAGUCUUGUGCCCAUCUUUUCCACACUUACAGCAUAUUAUUUUAUUCCCUACAAACUGAGAAGGUACAUAGCUAUUUGAAUUGACCAUACUGCACAGGCUUCUGCCCAUUGUUUCCCCCUUCUUUGAUUUGCUGCCGUUUGGAAUGGUUCUUUAGAAAUUUGAUCGGAGCUACUGUUGAAUGGUCGUGCCAACUGAGAUUCCACCUUUAAUGCCAACUGCACUGUGCUAGG